GAGGCCCUCUUGGACAACACUUCCUCUCCUGCCCAUGGUGGGAGGUUGGGAAGGACAUUCCCCCAUUUCCAUUUGCUCUGCCAUUCAAAACCUUGUGAGGGCCCUCAGGGAAGAAUCCCUUUGCAGAUGAGGAAACUGAGGCCCCACGUGGUGAAGACAAUUUUUACCCGAAUCCACCCACAACAAGAGACCAUUUGGAUAAUGUACAUUAUGGGAAGAGAACAGAGUCUCAGUGAAGAUCAUGUUUCCCCAGCAACACAGGUGCCAGGAGUAGCUGGCUCUGGUCCCAGCCCAGACUCAGAAAUCCUGAGCCACCAGACCAUUUCUAGAUUAACAAAGGCCUGCAUUAAUUUGAUUUCAGUGACCCACUGGAAACCAGUGUCAGCAUAACAACAGUUACGAGAGCUAAACCUACAAAAUAGGUUUUCUUUGAUGGCAGUUCUGCUCUAAAGAUGGAUAAGGAAGGAGGUUCCAAGAUGGCCGAAUAGGAACAGCUCCAGUCUACAGCUCCCAGCAUGAGCAACGCAGAAGACAGGGGAUUUCUGCAUUUCCAAUUGAGAACACAGGAGCUAUGUGGAGAGUUGAUGGAGGGACAUUCCAGGCAGAGAGAACAGCAAACACAAAGGCCUUGAAGGGCUCAACACCACAUGGAAGCUGCCAAGGCUUGGGGCUCGCACCAUCUGAAGACAUGGUCUGAACUCUACGUUGGCCCUUUCAGCCAUGGCUGGAGCAGCUGGAACGCAGGGCAUCAAGUCUCUUGGCUGCACACAGCUCAGGGAAGCUGGACCUGGCCCAUGAAACCACUUUUUCUUCCUAUGCCUCCAGACCUGUGAUGGGAGGAGCUGCCAUGAAGACCUCUGACAUGCCCUAGAAACAUUUUCCCCAUUGUCUUAGGGAUUAACAUUCUGUGCCUUGUUGCUUAAGUAAAUUUCUGCCUCAUUGUCAGGCUGCAAAUUUUCUA
RNAcentral lists this long non-coding RNA (961 nucleotides) under Homo sapiens (human). RNAcentral's name for it is "HSALNT0347454". Lineage: Eukaryota; Metazoa; Chordata; Mammalia; Primates; Hominidae. The record is from RNAcentral.